AGUGAACGCUGGCGGUAGGCCUAACACAUGCAAGUCGAACGGCAGCACAGUAAGAGCUUGCUCUUACGGGUGGCGAGUGGCGGACGGGUGAGGAAUACAUCGGAAUCUACUUUUUCGUGGGGGAUAACGUAGGGAAACUUACGCUAAUACCGCAUACGACCUACGGGUGAAAGCAGGGGAUCUUCGGACCUUGCGCGAUUGAAUGAGCCGAUGUCGGAUUAGCUAGUUGGCGGGGUAAACGCCCACCAAGGCGACGAUCCGUAGCUGGUCUGAGAGGAUGAUCAGCCACACUGGAACUGAGACACGGUCCAGACUCCUACGGGAGGCAGCAGUGGGGAAUAUUGGACAAUGGGCGCAAGCCUGAUCCAGCCAUACCGCGUGGGUGAAGAAGGCCUUCGGGUUGUAAAGCCCUUUUGUUGGGAAAGAAAAGCAGCAGGUUAAUACCCCGCUGUUCUGACGGUACCCAAAGAAUAAGCACCGGCUAACUUCGUG
This 492-nucleotide ribosomal RNA is filed under the name uncultured bacterium. RNAcentral's name for it is "partial 16S ribosomal RNA". It matches the Rfam family "Bacterial small subunit ribosomal RNA", at positions 29 to 507 of the family's 1533-position model. The record is from RNAcentral.